Molecule: ribosomal RNA, 562 nt
Filed under: Neomenia carinata
Lineage: Eukaryota; Metazoa; Mollusca; Solenogastres; Neomeniamorpha; Neomeniidae
Description: partial 16S ribosomal RNA
Source: RNAcentral
UAUAAAUAAUAAAUUUUAUUAAUUACUGGUCCUUUCGUACUAUGUAAUUAUUUUUUUAUAUAAAAGAUAGAAACCAAUCUGGUUUACACCGAUUUGAACUCAGAUCAUGUAAAGUAUUAUUAGUCGAACAGACUAUCUUUUAAAUUUUUUGCUAUUUAAAGUUACUUUAAUCCAACAUCGAGGUCGUAAUUUUUCUUUUCGAUUUGGGCUCUUAAAGAAAAUUUACGCUGUUAUCCCUAAGGUAAUUUAUUUUGUUUUAUUUAUAAAAUGAUUUUUAUAUUAUAUUUUUAUUAAAGAAAAAUAAUUAUUUCUUAGUUGCCCCAACAAAAUUUAUUAUUAUUUAAUUUUUAAAAGUAAUAAAUAAAACUCUAUAGGGUCUUUUUGUCUUUUUAUUUUAUUAAAGCUUUUUAACUUUAAGAUUAAAUUUUAGGUAUAUAAAAGAGACAGAAAAAUUUCGUUGAGCCAUUCAUUCUAGUCUUUAAUUAAAAGACAAAUGAUUAUGCUACCUUAGCACAGUUAAAAUUCUGCGGCCAUUUAGAAGUUCCAUUGGGCAGGCUACACU